UGGUCAAGUUAUUAAGGGUGCAGGGCGGAUGCCUUGGCACUAGGAGCCGAUGAAGGACGUGAUAAGCUGCGAUAAGCUUCGGGGAGUUGCACGUAAACUUUGAUCCGAAGAUUUCCGAAUGAGGAAACUCACUUAGAGUAAUGUCUAAGUAUCAUUAAGUGAAUACAUAGCUUAAUGAGGGGAACUCAGGGAACUGAAACAUCUAAGGACCUGAAGGAAGAGAAAGAAAUUCGAUUCCGUAAGUAGCGGCGAGCGAACGCGGAUUAGCCCAAACCAAUAAAGUUUUCUUUAUUGGGGUUGCGGACAUAUCAUAACGAAGAGAUAUCGUAAUUGAA
RNAcentral lists this ribosomal RNA (335 nucleotides) under Clostridioides difficile. Its description in RNAcentral is "partial 23S ribosomal RNA". It matches the Rfam family "Bacterial large subunit ribosomal RNA", at positions 1 to 337 of the family's 2925-position model. The record is from RNAcentral. Lineage: Bacteria; Bacillati; Bacillota; Clostridia; Peptostreptococcales; Peptostreptococcaceae.